Molecule: long non-coding RNA, 2173 nt
Organism: Haliotis rubra (blacklip abalone)
Lineage: Eukaryota; Metazoa; Mollusca; Gastropoda; Lepetellida; Haliotidae
Exons: 3
Source: RefSeq, a predicted model, not a curated record
CAAGGCAGGGGAAGGACCCUGGGACAAAGGCCUGUCUGGGACAGAGCGACAACAACAUCGACAGGACCCUGUGGAAAUGACUGCUCUCUCUCUACAAAUUAUGUAAUAUCUGAAUACAACAGAACGUGCGAAUCAUGAAUGGAGGAAACACCGGUGAGCCUCAAACAGCAGUUGUGUUGGGUAUUCAUGUCACAGCUACGAGCCAAUAAGAUUGAAGAGGGUUUAUCUGUUGAGGGUAAAUCCCUCGUCAGUUUACACCUCACAGUGGCAGACUAAGCCUUCAGAAGGGACAGACAGGGCUUAGCCAGGAGAUCGAAGGAGAGAGCGGAGAUUGAAGCAGUGCUCGUCACAACAGUGUGGUAGUCUCGGCAAGACAACGUGACGACGGACUACAAAUUCUCUGUAAGCUGGCAUGAGAACUCUGUGACAAGCAGUCUAUAUUCAUGACUGGGCCAGUGUCAACAAAGUACAGCCUUUCAACUUCAUUCAGUCAACCACUUCUGUAGGACAUUUUUUAACACUGGAGAAUGAUUUUGUCACCACUGAAUUGCUGGCUGUGUGUUCCCAUGUGGCUGAGUGAUAUGUCAGUACAAUGACCACAUCGAAUCGGUAGGACGAGGGGCACGGUGUCGUCUCAUGCUUCAUGAUGACAAAUACAUCAUCAGCAGUAUAGUUCUACAUGUGCGAGGUCUCGUUGGUACAGUUACUGAGGCAACUAUCCUCCACCAGGUUCAUCAGCAGCAUCUAAAGACUCAGAUCAACCCCAAACCAUACUCAAUCCUGCAAGAAGAGUGCCGCCAGACAAACCUGGGAAACACCCAAGCUUCCAUGCUGCACCAUCAGUAACAGCCAUGCCUCCACUACGCACCAUCACCACUGUCGCAGAUGUUGCUGUCCCCAACGAAGAACGUGUUUGCAGGCACUGGGUGACAUGUUUUUCUGACUCCCAGGCGUAAGAUGAAAUGUUUGCAAUGAUGGGUUUGUGUGCAGAGGAGCCAAGUCUCGCCUGCUGAAAGUGCGAUCGUCCACAACACAAGCACAGAAAGACAUUCUGCAAAUUAGUGCUGUUAAUCCGCAAUGAUCCUCUAUUGCCGGGACACCUGUGCACAUAUUGAUGUAAGCUUCUCAGGUGUUGGACUCACAGAUACUACGCGAAAAAACAAUUCUGAUUCUAGCUUUUGGGACGGAGCCAGAGACAGAUUAUUCAGUGUGAUCUGACACUAAUGUUCAAAGGAAUUAUCAGAUUUGUGGAUAAACGGGCAAAAUGCAUAUACAGUUAUCCAAGAAUUAGUUAAAAGUGAUCAACAAGUGACACUGAUCACAUUAAUAAAAGAUCCAAUUUGUUGCUCUGAUUAAAUGGCCUGCCCCACCUGGACUUAAUGGAGUGUGGACAUGGAUAAAGGUAUAUGGUAAUAAAACAAUCCAGUCCAGUGGAGAAGGCACACAUUCUUAAUUACAGGUGUGUGUUUCACCUGGAACAAUAAUUACAGGGGUAUGUUCCACCAGCAGGAUGUGUACAUGCCACUAACCAAUGUUGAUUUAACUGUGAUGAAUACAGAACCAUCCAGCUAGAGGUAUGAAUGGAAAUACAUCAACUACCUAUUGUUGUCUGACAGGCCCAAUUACAGGUUCUGGUCAACUGCCCCUUUGAGUGGACACACUGAACGAGGUGCUGUGUGGCAUGUAUCUGCUGCAGCGAGCAGAUCACAAUAGGUGGCAUUACCAGGGGUCAGUGGUUUCUAAUGCAAGCUUGUCUCCUGCAGGUGUGCUGGAAGUCAACAGAAGCUGGACAUACCAUACAAUGACAUGGGCAAUUGUGGGAAAUAAUCUGUAUAACACACCCUAUUACCAUCCAAGUGGACAAUAAAGUGGACAGUCUGGUGUUGGCAGUCAGUCGGUCCUGUGAGCUCCCUGGUUGAUAUUGUGUGUAAUGGCCCUGCCAAGAAGGGAAUACACUGGGUUAUAUACCGGCAGGAUCAUAUAGUGUUGAAGACUGCACGUUGCAAUCACAGGUUAUAAGUGUGCACAGUUUCAUUGUUUAUGUGGUUACUUGGAUGCUCUAUGGAUGUCUUCUACAUAUUCAAGACACAAAGCUUUAAAUGGUCAUCAUUCUCUGUGUGUAAAUCAGUCAAAAUGAUCAGUAUUACAGAUCCCAAGAAAUCCACACAAUCCA